ACCACCACGAUGACUUAUAAGCAACUCACUGUACUUUAGUACUAGACUAUCUGAGUUUCUAACUUAGUGACAGAAGGAUAUUAGAUGCAGUCAAGUACUUAUCAAGUCAGUGUAUGAGUCAAGAUGGAAUUAACCCCUCUGAAUUGGUAGGAGAUAUGCAUCAGUAUUUUUUAAUUUAGCAAAAUCUUAAUUAGGAUAA
This 199-nucleotide long non-coding RNA is filed under the name Elaeis guineensis (African oil palm). Its description in RNAcentral is "long non-coding RNA (EGUI_LNC050487)". The record is from RNAcentral. Lineage: Eukaryota; Viridiplantae; Streptophyta; Magnoliopsida; Arecales; Arecaceae.